ACAUGAUAAAUGCAUGAUUGGGGAAAAAAACAAUGAUACUAUUUUAUUGACCACUGUUCCUUCUUACUAUUACUUUGUCAUUUUUACUAUAAGCUAAAUAGGAGAGUGAAAGCUGGAAAACGCAAACCAUGCAUACAAAUAUCCUAAACUCAAGUUUUUAAGGAUUGUGUUAAGAUUAAUAUAAGUGUAUAUAACCAGGACAUAAAAUAACACACAGUUCAC
Non-coding RNA from Pelobates cultripes (western spadefoot toad), 222 nucleotides. NCBI's taxonomy places the organism in Eukaryota, Metazoa, Chordata, Amphibia, Anura, Pelobatidae. The record is from the annotation of a GenBank genome assembly.